UAGCUCAGACGGUAAAGCAUCUGCCUGCAAUGCAGGAGACCCAGGUUCAAUACCUGG
This 57-nucleotide transfer RNA is filed under the name Ovis aries (sheep). It matches the Rfam family "tRNA", at positions 8 to 63 of the family's 71-position model. Rfam says of the family: Transfer RNA (tRNA) molecules are approximately 80 nucleotides in length. The record is from Rfam by way of RNAcentral. Lineage: Eukaryota; Metazoa; Chordata; Mammalia; Artiodactyla; Bovidae.